CAGUCUGCAGGCCCUGGGAGGAGGAAGCAGGGAGAACUUGCCUGAGGCCUGGGAAGGACAGGGCAGCCGAUCGGGGACACCCCGGGACAGGAGUCAGGAGGAGCCCUGUACCAGGGAGGAAUCGCCCGACAAGGACAAGCCGGAGCUGGGCCCAGUAUCACAGCUGCCCAGAGCUGCGUGGGGCUGAGGACCGAUGCCUAAUGGACAGGAAAGAGGCAUUACCACAACGCCUGAUCUUUGAAGGGUUGGAGAACCAGACUUCAAAUGAAAGAGAAGAACACUAACUCCUGGAGGUCGGUGAAGGAGGGAACAACAGACAUGACCCACACUAACCCAACGAUAAUUUAAACAACAAUCAACAGGGAAUCGUGGUAUUUUGCACCAGCUUUUUUUCAUUUUAAAUUUGUGCAUACAAGAUACAGGGCCAAAAUAGUGAAUGACAAACAUUUUCCUACUAACUUUAUUUUGCAGAUAACGAAGGGAUAUGUUUUGGUAUUGCCAAAAUCCCUUUUAUGGCAAUAGAGAUAUCCAGUUAAGGAGAUUAUUCUUGUAUAUACCCUAUACCAAUAUACAGUACUCACUCUUAAAGAUACACAAAGAGGCAUACACAUACACACACACACUUGACAUUUCUAAGAUUCCCAUCACUGUGGUAUCUAGGCAUCAUAACACAUGUGAAGUGCUUUAUUUCUUGUUGGAAUAGUGCAUCAUACUCCAAAGGAUCUGAA
Mauremys reevesii (Reeves's turtle) is the source of this 728-nucleotide long non-coding RNA. RefSeq lists it as uncharacterized. The record is from RefSeq and is a predicted model, not a curated record. The transcript is spliced from 3 exons. Lineage: Eukaryota; Metazoa; Chordata; Testudines; Geoemydidae.